GGGUCGGCCAAGGCGAAAUUACCACAACCAAAUUGAAGACGGCAUAAAAGAAAGGAACAAUGUGAGCGGGACAAUAAGCGAUCUUUCCCUGCUUUUAGCACAAGUUCGAGUGAAAUGAACGACUGAACGUUGCCAGCUCGUUUUAAGUCUCUAUUACGUACAUUAUGGAAAAAAAAGAUGGAAAACAUCGCAAACAUCUGCAAAAAAAUUUAAUGAUGUGUCUGAAAUUUCAAAUUUCCAAUGCCCAGUGGACCUGCGUG
Molecule: long non-coding RNA, 260 nt
Organism: Hyposmocoma kahamanoa
Lineage: Eukaryota; Metazoa; Arthropoda; Insecta; Lepidoptera; Cosmopterigidae
Exons: 3
Source: RefSeq, a predicted model, not a curated record